RNAcentral lists this ribosomal RNA (496 nucleotides) under uncultured bacterium. Its description in RNAcentral is "partial 16S ribosomal RNA". It matches the Rfam family "Bacterial small subunit ribosomal RNA", at positions 28 to 507 of the family's 1533-position model. The record is from RNAcentral.
GAUGAACGCUGGCGGCGUGCCUAAUACAUGCAAGUCGAGCGAACAGAUGAGGAGCUUGCUCCUCUGACGUUAGCGGCGGACGGGUGAGUAACACGUGGAUAACCUACCUAUAAGACUGGGAUAACUACGGGAAACCGGAGCUAAUACCGGAUAAUAUAUUGAACCGCAUGGUUCAAUAGUGAAAGACGGUUUUGCUGUCACUUAUAGAUGGAUCCGCGCCGCAUUAGCUAGUUGGUAAGGUAACGGCUUACCAAGGCAACGAUGCGUAGCCGACCUGAGAGGGUGAUCGGCCACACUGGAACUGAGACACGGUCCAGACUCCUACGGGAGGCAGCAGUAGGAAUCUUCCGCAAUGGGCGAAAGCCUGACGGAGCAACGCCGCGUGAGUGAUGAAGGUCUUCGGAUCGUAAAACUCUGUUAUUAGGGAAGAACAAAUGUGUAAGUAACUAUGCACGUCUUGACGGUACCUAAUCAGAAAGCCACGGCUAACUACGUG